UGAUCUCUUUCUCCAUAAACCCAGCCAUUGGCAUCACCGAGAAGAUUCAUUCGGAGUUGAAAUUAAAUCGAUUGAUCUCCAGAGGGAGAGAUGCAUCAGGAUGGGGAAUCACAAGGAACAAAGGAAGGUGCAUGUUACGGUUUAGGAAGGUGUUACGAUUUCUGAACAGAUUUCAGUGAAUGUAUGUCCAAUUGUAGGGAACCUGAAGAUUGUCCUCUUCUUAGAUAUGAUUAUCCUGAGUGUCUUCAUCAUGCUAAAGAGGUUCGUUUGAAAUUAAUAUGAAAUUUUAAUGAAAACCCUAGCUUUGAAUUUAGAGGUAACCUGUUGUGUUUUUUUUUUUCUUAUAUAAAUUUACUAAUUAAGCUUGAUGUGAUUAGCUGUUCUGAUGACAUGUUCUAUGUUGAUGGUGAUUUGAGCUGGAAAUAACAUGAAUUUCGGUUAACCUCUUAGAACCUCGGAUUUUAGGAAUCACUCGAUGUAUAUCAGUUGUUUAUCUUAUAAGGGUUCUCAUAAGAUUAGUAAUAUUGUUGCAAUUUAGGGUAUUAGGUUUACGAUUUCUGGACAGAUUUCAGUGAAUGAAACGAGAGCACUCAGAGCAGGUAUUUACCUGCUUCUACUUUUGUCGGUUUUUAUAUUGAACUGCCAAACUAAACUGUUUGAAACAUAUAGGGUGUAUGUUAUAUUGAACUGACACGAUAGUCCAAAACCGAACUUACUAGAGGAGGAAGAGAUGCAUCAGUUAUAGAUUUGAAAAAGGCCCCAAACCUGAGAAUGUGAAUACCCAGAAGGGAAAGAUGUGAAGAAUUAAGGAACUCCUUGAAUGAGACCUACAAUCCAUCAGCUGAUGUGGUACUAGAAACUCCAAGAGCGGCCUAUGAAUAAAAGAAAGAUGAAAGGCAGGUACAAUUAGCCUCUGUACACAAUUAGCCUCUGUACGGCAGCUGCAUCAAGGGUAUUCGUCGAUCUGGAAUUCUGGAUGUUCAGCCAGCGCAUGAUUUCAGUACAAUGUAAAUCAAAAGUGUUUUUCCAGGCUAAAUAUUCUCGAAUGCAACAACAAAGCGAUCUGAUGCAGACUCAAUGUUGAUCUCGGAUUUAAGAACAAAUGAAGAUAGAGGGAGCGGAAGCGGGAGAUAAUAGGGAAACUCUAGCACGAUAAUUAAUUAGAGUUUUUAAUUGUGCUCUUCAAUUUUUUGUCAAAAUAGCUUGAAAGGAGUUUCGUUAUGAUCUAAGCCACAAGAGUAAUAAGGUGAGUACUGCUAUGAAUUAUAGCCAUUAGAAUUUCCAUUGACAAGAGUAGUGAAGGAAUUUGACAUUAUAGCAUAUUAGUUGAGAGCACAAUAAUUGAUUUUAUUUAAUCGAUGUCACUUUCAAAGGGUUGUUGAUAUUGAAAUUCGUAAAGUUAGUAAUCUUGAGUAGACGGGAAAUAACUUCACAUUGAAUUACUCACUUUGUUUUGUUGUUCGAUAAUAAUUU
Molecule: long non-coding RNA, 1473 nt
Organism: Papaver somniferum (opium poppy)
Lineage: Eukaryota; Viridiplantae; Streptophyta; Magnoliopsida; Ranunculales; Papaveraceae
Exons: 4
Source: RefSeq, a predicted model, not a curated record